UUAUACCAAUGGCGGUGCGUUGUGGUAUUCACAGAAGUCCACAAAAUUUCUGUUCGAAUAGCUUUGCUCAUCACAUAUAGUGGCGACGUACCAUCAGGUUAUUGUGGGCGGAAAGGAUCCGAGAUGAUGAACCAACCCACUUGAAUGAGUUCCGACCAAUCGGGAGAUCUUCUAGCUGCAUGAAGGGGCAAGCCACUACGAUAUGCUACGGUCGUGAUUAAACACGGCCAAGAAUAGGAGGUAUUAUGUCACCAAUGCGAUCAUAAUUAGUUCCGGGUUAAUCGCAAGCAUUCCAGGGAUUCUUCCACAGCUGCCUGUCACCAUGCCACAGAGAUGGUAAUCAUUUGUCCCUAAAUGUGUUGUAUAUUAUUUGUAUCAUAGAUUUCCUUUUUUGUCGUCUAGAAGAACAAAGCAAACAAAUAGCAUAUGUCAUACAAUAACCAGUUACGUUUAUCUCUGCUGUUUGCGUCCCAAAUAUGCCUAUAUAUCAUCAUCAUGCUUGCCAUCAUUAUGAUUAUCAUCAUAAGACCACUCACACAGUGAGAAACAGAAAAACCAGUCAACCCCUGUUUCCCAUGGCAGUCUUAGGCAUUGGAGCAAACGACUACAGACUGACCGUUCUAUCUUAUGGUAGUAGCAUUCGAUUGGUGCCGGACGAAACGGCCGCUGGUCUGAUCUGAACCGUGUACUGCUGUGCUCUUCUCUGUGCUGACGUGCACAGACAGACAGAGAGAGGGGUCGUCGCCGUCGUCAUCGGCGGCGCCGGCCGUUACGCAGAUGGCUGACCCUGACCGACGCCGGUGCAGCAG
This is a long non-coding RNA of Varroa destructor (honeybee mite), 809 nucleotides long. NCBI's taxonomy places the organism in Eukaryota, Metazoa, Arthropoda, Arachnida, Mesostigmata, Varroidae. The record is from RefSeq and is a predicted model, not a curated record.